AUGGUUCUGCAGUUCUGGAGGCGUCCUGCAGCGACGCAGCAUAUUGCGGCUGAUGAGCAAGCCAUAGUCCACGGCCUUACUGAAGAUACCAUGGCAAGGAUGUGGGCUAGCAGAAGGACAUGGGAGGACGAACAACUGUACUUAGUCCAUGAUCAGGGCAUUCCGGGCAACAGUCAUCGUACUACUCUGGCCGUGAAGAAGUUCCAGAGCAUGAACCCAGCACUGCAAGUACACGACAAUGUCAAGUACCACUACAAUUUGGAGAUGAUCCUGUUAGCCAGCAAUUCUCACGUCAACAUCAUCAAAGUCGCAGACCUCAUCCAGAGGGAAGACGCGAUCAUGCUCGUUUACGAGUAUCCGGUGAAUGGCAAUCUUCGAUCCUGGCUGCACCAACCCAUGCAUCUCGGUCAGCCGCUGAGCUGGCCGCAGAGGAGGGCCAUCGCCAUCGGCGUGGCCAAAGGGCUCUGCCACUUGCACCAUGGGUGCAAGAAGCCAAUUGUCCACCAUAACAUCAGCCCUAACAACAUCUUGCUUGAUCAGAAUUUCAAGCCCGUGAUAGCAGGUUUUGAUGGUGCGCACAUGAACAUGGCCGGGCUCGGCCAACCGCUACCAAUCACGGACCUGCCUCCGGGUAACUUUGGGUAUGCAGCUCCAGAGUAUGGGAGAGCGACAAACCAAGUAACAGAGAAGGUGGAUAUUUACAGCUUUGGUGUGGUCUUGUUGGAGCUAGUCACGGCACGAGUGGCCAAUGGACGUGGAGCGAAUGGUCUAUUGGCAACUUGGGCACAGAAGACGUGCAAUGAACUGAUGGCAAACAAUCUGAAAAUGUUCAAGAUUACCGUCGACAAGGGCAUCCCAGAUCAAGGACGAUACAUGAAGGAGAUGGCGACCAUGUUCAGGCUGGGAGUGGAUUGCACCGUCAUGGAUCCGCUGGAAAGGCCUUCAAUGCUCAAGGUUCUCGAGCGACUCCGCCGUGGGCGUUCUCCAUUCCGUGGCCUCCUCACCUUCUAG
RNAcentral lists this ribosomal RNA (1011 nucleotides) under Triticum aestivum (bread wheat). RNAcentral describes it as "partial small subunit ribosomal RNA". The record is from RNAcentral. Lineage: Eukaryota; Viridiplantae; Streptophyta; Magnoliopsida; Poales; Poaceae.